AUCGCAAGACCUUGCGCUUUUGGAGCGGCCGAUGUCUGAUUAGCCAGUUGGUGAGGUAAAGGCUUACCAAGGCUUCGAUCAGUAGCUGGUCUGAGAGGACGACCAGCCACACUGGGACUGAGACACGGCCCAGACUCCUACGGGAGGCAGCAGUGGGGAAUUUUGGACAAUGGGGGCAACCCUGAUCCAGCCAUGCCGCGUGAGUGAAGAAGGCCUUCGGGUUGUAAAGCUCUUUCAGCCGGGACGAAAAGGUCACGGUUAAUACCCGUGACAACUGACGGUACCGGAAGAAGAAGCACCGGCUAACUACGUGCCAGCAGCCGCGGUAAUACGUGGGGUGCGAGCGUUAAUCGGAAUUACUGGGCGUAAAGCGUGCGCAGGCGGUUUUGUAAGUCAGAUGUGAAAUCCCCGGGCUUAACCUGGGAACUGCGUUUGAA
Molecule: ribosomal RNA, 437 nt
Filed under: uncultured beta proteobacterium
Lineage: Bacteria; Pseudomonadati; Pseudomonadota; Betaproteobacteria
Description: bacterial SSU rRNA
Rfam family: Bacterial small subunit ribosomal RNA
Source: RNAcentral